Molecule: long non-coding RNA, 1036 nt
Organism: Harpegnathos saltator (Jerdon's jumping ant)
Lineage: Eukaryota; Metazoa; Arthropoda; Insecta; Hymenoptera; Formicidae
Exons: 2
Source: RefSeq, a predicted model, not a curated record
UUAAAAUAUUAACAUUUUUAUAUUAUUUGAUUUUUAUGUUUGUUUAUCGUUUCUCCGUCUUUGACAUAGAACAGGAAAUGUGUAGAGAAUUUAGGCAAGAUAAAUUCAGUUCACUCAAAGGUAUCUUUAAAACAUUUCCCAAUUAGUUUGAUGUGUCUAUAGUAUUAAAAUUGACCCGGACAGUUCAAGCACGCGAAUUAAGAUAAUGUAGUCAAAAAGUUAAUUUUUAAACCGCAAGACAUCAUCACCAUGUUUGUGAAGAAUAUUGACUUGGACAAUACGAAAUGCUUUUCAAGCAGCCAUUAGUAAAAUUAAUGGUUUAAUCGGUGAGAAGGAGCUAGAGCUUUGGAAUGUUCCAAGUACUAUAAACGAGAUUGAUUUAAAACUGGAUAGUGCUGUUAAUAGUUGGGAUGUUAAUGAAAUAUCCACAAAAACAAGCAGGAAUGUGGGAGAGAGGUUCAGUCGACGUUUAUGAACUCUCUUUGCUUGGUUACGAUCUUCAACUGAAUAAGAAGCCGAGGUCACAUAAUGAGUUCGAGUCUCAGCUGAAUCAUAGAGCCAGAUUAAAGAUGGAAAAUGUCAACGAGGAAGAAAGAUUUGCAGCUGUGGUAAGCUCUUUUGGUACUUGAAAACUUCACCUUUGACCACUAAGUGUCUCGUCAAUUACUAUUUCUACUGAGACCAAAUUUAGUGGAGGAAAAUAUAUUCUAUCAUAGUAUGUUGACGAAAAGAAGGCAAUAACUUAUUAGCAAACUUAUCAGGUCCUAAUAGAGGCUAACUUCUUUUGCCUCUUCGGACGACAUAAGAUAAUACUGAUUGAAAUAUUAUGCUUAGGUCUUCGAAAUUUAUUUUAAUAUCCAUAAUCUUCAAAUAUAGGAAUGCCGCUUUGUGAAUGUGUAAUUGCUAGAUACAGUAAUUCACUACUGAUAUUCGUUUUCCAAUUUAGUCUCCUCUUUUUUUUGACACCUUCUAUUGAAAGAAACUUUUAAAUAUAAUAUUAUAUUGCAUAUGUGUGUUACAGCUGUUGUUAUAUUAA